This 501-nucleotide ribosomal RNA is filed under the name uncultured Actinomycetes bacterium. Its description in RNAcentral is "bacterial SSU rRNA". It matches the Rfam family "Bacterial small subunit ribosomal RNA", at positions 355 to 866 of the family's 1533-position model. Lineage: Bacteria; Bacillati; Actinomycetota; Actinomycetes. The record is from RNAcentral.
UGGGGAAUAUUGCGCAAUGGGCGAAAGCCUGACGCAGCGACGCCGCGUGAGGGAUGACGGCCUUCGGGUUGUAAACCUCUUUCAGCAGGGAAGAAGCGAAAGUGACGGUACCUGCAGAAGAAGCACCGGCUAACUACGUGCCAGCAGCCGCGGUAAUACGUAGGGUGCAAGCGUUGUCCGGAAUUAUUGGGCGUAAAGAGCUCGUAGGCGGUCUGUCGCGUCGGAUGUGAAAACCCAGGGCUCAACCCUGGGCCUGCAUUCGAUACGGGCAGACUAGAGUUCGGUAGGGGAGACUGGAAUUCCUGGUGUAGCGGUGAAAUGCGCAGAUAUCAGGAGGAACACCGGUGGCGAAGGCGGGUCUCUGGGCCGAAACUGACGCUGAGGAGCGAAAGCGUGGGGAGCGAACAGGAUUAGAUACCCUGGUAGUCCACGCCGUAAACGUUGGGCUCUAGGUGUGGGGAACCUUCCACGUUCUCCGUGCCGCAGCUAACGCAUUAAGCG